This 379-nucleotide RNase P RNA is filed under the name Candidatus Magasanikbacteria bacterium CG1_02_32_51. Its description in RNAcentral is "RNase P RNA component class A". It matches the Rfam family "Bacterial RNase P class A". From Rfam's summary of the family: Ribonuclease P (RNase P) is a ubiquitous endoribonuclease, found in archaea, bacteria and eukarya as well as chloroplasts and mitochondria. Its best characterised activity is the generation of mature 5'-ends of tRNAs by cleaving the 5'-leader elements of precursor-tRNAs. Cellular RNase Ps are ribonucleoproteins. Lineage: Bacteria; Candidatus Magasanikiibacteriota. The record is from RNAcentral.
CAAAGCGAAGAGCGUAGGAGGAGAGGAAAGUCCGAACUUCCUUUGGAGAAAUCUAAUGUCAAGGUAGUGGAUAACAUCCACCCUCCAUCUUUUACGAGAAUUGGAGCGGGAAAGUGCCACAGAGACUAUACUAGCCAGCCGAUUCGGCGGGCAAAAGGUGAAAAGUGGUUUGAUGUCAUUUGCACAAUUGACAAAUGGCUACAAACUUCGACUCCCAGUGAUGGGAUGUCGUGGUAAACCCUACCUGAAGAAAGAGCAGCGUUACGAUUUAUCGUUUCGAAAAGUUAGCUCGUUUGAUCCCGACAGUAAUGUCGGGACUAGAUAAAUGAUCAUCUUGUUUCCUUUUGGAAACAAACAAAAUUCGGCUUAUAUUUGUAGA